CGCGGCCUAUCAGCUUGUUGGUGGGGUAACGGCCUACCAAGGCGAUGACGGGUAGCCGGCCUGAGAGGGCGACCGGCCACACUGGGACUGAGACACGGCCCAGACUCCUACGGGAGGCAGCAGUGGGGAAUAUUGCACAAUGGGCGGAAGCCUGAUGCAGCGACGCCGCGUGGGGGAUGACGGCCUUCGGGUUGUAAACCCCUUUCGCCCGGGACGAAGCGAGAGUGACGGUACCGGGAGAAGAAGCACCGGCCAACUACGUGCCAGCAGCCGCGGUAAUACGUAGGGUGCAAGCGUUGUCCGGAAUUAUUGGGCGUAAAGAGCUCGUAGGCGGCCUGUCGCGUCUGCUGUGAAAGUCCGGGGCUUAACUCCGGGUGUGCAGUGGAUACGGGCAGGCUUGAGGUAGGUAGGGGAGACUGGAAUUCCUGGUGUAGCGGUGAAGUGCGCAGAUAACAGGAGGAACACCGAUGGCGAAGGCAGGUCUCUGGGCUGUUACUGACGCUGAGGAGCGAAAGCAUGGGGAGCGAACAGGAUUAGAUACCCUGGUAGUCCAUGCCGUAAACGUUGGGCACUAGGUGUGGGGCUCUUUCCACGAGUUCCGCGCCGUAGCUAACGCAUUAAGUGCCCCGCCUGGGGAGUACGG
Molecule: ribosomal RNA, 643 nt
Filed under: uncultured bacterium
Lineage: Bacteria
Description: bacterial SSU rRNA
Rfam family: Bacterial small subunit ribosomal RNA
Source: RNAcentral